GGAGUUGGGUUGUCAAAUACAUAAUAGGUUGUUCAAAGUUCUUUGAAGACGUUGAGCGAAAGAUCAAGAGAACGCGUGGCAGCUGAAGGAAGUGGCUCGUGAUAUUCCAAAGAGGUGCUCAAGAGCGAGAGCUAUGUUUGCAGACCUGUGGGAAUGAAGGGGGAAUGAAGGGCGAGGCAGCUGAGGAUCUAAGUGGCUGGCUAAUAGUCUAAUAUUUUAAAUAGGUGCUCAAGAGAGAGAUCGUGUGAUCAGGAUCAUCUAAUAUAUAAAGUGGACGCUCGAUCUGAUGCAUGAAGUUUCCCAACUUAGUACAAAUUAAUUGUUUAAAUUAACAUUGGAUCAUUAGCUAUGAGAUGCGAGAAUAUAGGCAGAUGGCAAACAGGAGAAUCGUCAAAUCGCUAGAGGACGACAGUUAGUGACUGUGGCAGCGCGUGUGAGAUAUGCGCCACGCUAGGAAUAUGGAGAUCGGUUGGAUCUGAAGAAUCCAAGGUCGCUGGCCCCAUAAAUGUCGCGUGUGGCGACAACAAGAGUUUUUUUAAUGCUGUGUGGCGCGUGGAUCUCACGCGUGCUUUAAUCAACGCGUGUCUGAAAGAUUGGCGGCUGGGGAAUCUUGUGGUAAAGCACGUGGCGGUCGCUAGGCUCUGGAAAGUAGCAUAUCGGCAUUUCUCCUUACUAUGGAUGAAAAAUUAAAAAAAUUAAAAAAAAAUAGAAAAAGGGGCUACAUAGUUUCAAGACUAGCCAGAUAGGAGGAGGAAGAGAGGAGCCGAAGCUUCACCCCCCUUUAGAGGGAGAAUAUAAUAUUUUUUGGGUGGGUUUUGGCUUGGGAGUGAAACGCUCGAGAGAAAAUGAGAUUGUAAAAAAUAAAAAUAAAAGUCUUUGAUGUAAUUUUGAAUAUUCAGUUACUUCCUUCAUUAAUAUUGUUAGUCCAAUAAGGAUAGUUAUAUCUCUUCCUACUCAACAUGGGACAUGCACGAAGAGAGA
Molecule: long non-coding RNA, 981 nt
Organism: Carya illinoinensis
Lineage: Eukaryota; Viridiplantae; Streptophyta; Magnoliopsida; Fagales; Juglandaceae
Exons: 3
Source: RefSeq, a predicted model, not a curated record